AUUGAACGCUGGCGGCAUGCCUUACACAUGCAAGUCGAACGGCAGCACGGGUGCUUGCACCUGGUGGCGAGUGGCGAACGGGUGAGUAAUACAUCGGAACGUACCUUAUCGUGGGGGAUAACGCAGCGAAAGCUGUGCUAAUACCGCAUACGCCCUGAGGGGGAAAGCGGGGGAUCGCAAGACCUCGCGCGAUUAGAGCGGCCGAUGCCUGAUUAGCUUGUUGGUGGGUAAAAGCCCACCAAGGCGACGAUCAGUAGCUGGUCUGAGAGGACGAUCAGCAACACUGGGACUGAGACACGGCCCAGACUGCUACGGGAGGCAGCAGUGGGGAAUUUUGGACAAUGGGGGCAACCCUGAUCCAGCAACGCCGCGUGAGUGAAGAAGGCCUUCGGGUUGUAAAGCUCUUUUGUCAGGGAAGAAACACCGGCUCUAACACAGUCCGGGAAUGACGGUACCUGAAGAAUAAGCACCGGCUAACUACGUGCCAGCAGCCGCGGUAA
This 500-nucleotide ribosomal RNA is filed under the name uncultured bacterium. RNAcentral's name for it is "partial 16S ribosomal RNA". It matches the Rfam family "Bacterial small subunit ribosomal RNA", at positions 29 to 523 of the family's 1533-position model. The record is from RNAcentral.